This 288-nucleotide long non-coding RNA is filed under the name Fukomys damarensis (Damara mole-rat). RNAcentral describes it as "lncRNA (ENSFDAG00000027409.1)". Lineage: Eukaryota; Metazoa; Chordata; Mammalia; Rodentia; Bathyergidae. The record is from RNAcentral.
GGCGAAUGUAUCAGGUGAAUCAACACUAUUUUUCCUUUCUUUUCAGUUUUCUGAGACAGAGUCUGGCUUUGUAGCCCACGCUCGCCUCCAACUCACACGUGUCUUCCUGCCUCAGCCUCUGGAGUGCUGGGAAACACAAGUGUGCCACACCAUGUCCGGCUCAAGGCCCUUGGCCAGGGUCCCGCGGCUGCGGUCGGCGUGGGAUGAGAAGAAAGAACUUGGAUUUCAGUCAGAAGAUCAGGAUUCCGGCUCUAGGAGACCGGAGACAAAGAGCCGAGAUAAGGAGCC